UACGAAGGGUGCUAGCGUUGCUCGGAAUCACUGGGCGUAAAGCGCACGUAGGCGGAUCUUUAAGUCAGGGGUGAAAUCCUGGAGCUCAACUCCAGAACUGCCUUUGAUACUGGGGAUCUCGAGUCCGGGAGAGGUGAGUGGAACUGCGAGUGUAGAGGUGAAAUUCGUAGAUAUUCGCAAGAACACCAGUGGCGAAGGCGGCUCACUGGCCCGGUACUGACGCUGAGGUGCGAAAGCGUGGGGAGCAAACAGG
Molecule: ribosomal RNA, 253 nt
Filed under: uncultured bacterium
Lineage: Bacteria
Description: partial 16S ribosomal RNA
Rfam family: Bacterial small subunit ribosomal RNA
Source: RNAcentral